AUUGAACGCUGGCGGCAUGCCUUACACAUGCAAGUCGAACGGCAGCAUGGAAGAGCUUGCUCUUCUGAUGGCGAGUGGCGAACGGGUGAGUAAAGCAUCGGAACGUACCGUGUAAUGGGGGAUAACGUAGCGAAAGUUACGCUAAUACCGCAUACGACCUGAGGGUGAAAGCAGGGGAUCGCAAGACCUUGCGUUAUACGAGCGGCCGAUGUCAGAUUAGCUAGUUGGUGAGGUAAAGGCUCACCAAGGCGACGAUCUGUAGCGGGUCUGAGAGGAUUAUCCGCCACACUGGGACUGAGACCCGGCCAAGACUCCUACGGGAGGCAGCAGUGGGGAAUUUUGGACAAUGGGGGCAACCCUGAUCCAGCCAUGCCGCGUGAGUGAAGAAGGCCUUCGGGUUGUAAAGCUCUUUCGGCCGGGAAGAAAUCGCACAGGCUAAUACUCUGUGUGGAUGACGGUACCGGCAUAAGAAGCACCGGCUAACUACGUACCAGCAGCCGCCGUAA
Molecule: ribosomal RNA, 506 nt
Filed under: uncultured bacterium
Lineage: Bacteria
Description: partial 16S ribosomal RNA
Rfam family: Bacterial small subunit ribosomal RNA
Source: RNAcentral